GGCGGCAGGCCUAACACAUGCAAGUCGAACGCGACCUUCGGGUCGAGUGGCGCACGGGUGAGUAACGCGUGGGAAUCUGCCCUGUGGUACGGAAUAACAUCGGGAAACUGGUGCUAAUACCGUAUAUCCCCUGAGGGGGAAAGAUUUAUCGCCAUGGGAGGAGCCCGCGUAGGAUUAGCUAGUUGGUGAGGUAACGGCUCACCAAGGCGACGAUCCUUAGCUGGUCUGAGAGGAUGAUCAGCCACACUGGGACUGAGAUACGGCCCAGACUCCUACGGGAGGCAGCAGUGGGGAAUAUUGGACAAUGGGGGAAACCCUGAUCCAGCCAUGCCGCGUGUGUGAUGAAGGCCUUCGGGUUGUAAAGCACUUUCGCACGUGACGAUNAUGACGGUAACGUGAGAAGAAGCCCCGGCUAACUUCGUGCCAGCAGCCGCGGUAAUACGAAGGGGGCAAGCGUUGUUCGGAAUUACUGGGCGUAAAGGGCGCGUAGGCGGUGCUCUAAGUCAGGCGUGAAAGCCCUGGGCUCAACCCGGGAAUUGCGCUUGAUACUGGA
RNAcentral lists this ribosomal RNA (553 nucleotides) under uncultured Alphaproteobacteria bacterium. RNAcentral's name for it is "bacterial SSU rRNA". It matches the Rfam family "Bacterial small subunit ribosomal RNA", at positions 38 to 637 of the family's 1533-position model. The record is from RNAcentral. Lineage: Bacteria; Pseudomonadati; Pseudomonadota; Alphaproteobacteria.